Molecule: transfer RNA, 69 nt
Filed under: Corythaixoides concolor (grey go-away-bird)
Lineage: Eukaryota; Metazoa; Chordata; Aves; Musophagiformes; Musophagidae
Description: tRNA-Ala
Rfam family: tRNA
About the family: Transfer RNA (tRNA) molecules are approximately 80 nucleotides in length.
Source: RNAcentral
AAAGUCCUGGCUUAAUGAAAGCGUCUGUGUUGCAUUCAGAAGAUGCAGGUUAAUGUCCUGCGGAUUUUA